ACCGAAAAGCAAAUGCAUUUGUUGAUAUGAGUAGCCAAAUCAAUUCCUUUAAGCUAUCCUUCAACUGUAUAGUCUCAUACCUAUACAAUCUCUAGAUCCCUCUCAUUCCGGUGUAUGUUCGAUUCGUCCAUGUGCCCCUUCCACUGGAAGCCUGCCAGGAGCUGCUCCUUGUCCAUGCCUCUUGCACCGGCGAUCACUCCCCGCCCUCGUCAGUGUCCGGGUGUCACAUGCCCACCAGCUUCUGUCUGGUUCGUCCUCGAACCACACCAUAUUGGGAGAGGCUAGGCUCUGAUACCAUCUGUAACGCACCGACAACUUACAGGGACUGUUGACUUCCCCCACACAUCAACACAAGGCUUUCCAGUGUGUUUUGUCCUCACUCACACACUUUCCGAGAAAACUUUCCAGAAGGUAACCCAUCCCAAAUUACUCUAGGCUAAGCACGCUUAACUAUGGAGUUCUUAUGGGUUAGGCUACCGAAAAGCAAAUGCAUUUGUUGAUAUGAGUAGCCAAAUCAAUUCAUUAAGUUAUCCUUCAACUGUAUAGUCCCAUACCUAUACAGUCUCUAGAUCCCUCUCAUUCUGGUGUAUGUUCGAUUCGUCCACGUGCCCCUUCCACUGGAAGCCUGCCAGGAGCCGCUCCUUGUCCAUGCCUCUUGCACCGGCGAUCACUCCCCGCCCUCGUCAGUGCCCGGGUG
Molecule: long non-coding RNA, 697 nt
Filed under: Vigna radiata
Lineage: Eukaryota; Viridiplantae; Streptophyta; Magnoliopsida; Fabales; Fabaceae
Description: long non-coding RNA (VRAD_LNC005629)
Source: RNAcentral